AUCUUCCAUAAAAAACUGAAGCUGGCGCUGAAGUCCCAGCAAAUGAGUAGUUCAAAAGUUAGAAAGUUAGUUAGGCCUCUCCAGUUUAGGCAUUUUUACUUUCUUAAUUUGCAAUAAUUUCUUGGCCACAACGGUACAACAUCCUUCUAAUCUUUCCUGACUGAUCUGUUCAGAUUUGUACAAACAUACCUUAAUAGUCUUUGGAGCAUGGAUUAGAAAGCAAUGACUGACUUCUCAGGGGUCUGUCCCAACCCCACCCUGCAGAGUUGGUCAGGUGCUCAUCACAGACUGCGUCUGCUUCCACAGAAGCUCCAGAGCCAGGCAAGGAUCCAGUACAGCAACUGAAGCAGGAACACCCACAAGAGGAUCUGCAGGAGUUAGCACAUCUCCUGCAGAGCUUGUGUUCAGGCAAAAUUAAGAAAUCUUUUUGGAUAGAAGCUGACAUGGAAUAGAGCUAUUUGUCUUUUCCCUGUAACCUUGAGAACUCCAGCUUCUAGGAGCACAGCUUACUGCUAUGCUAACAGGUUACCUGGAAUAUGAAUCCGCAUCAAAAGCUGUGGCAAUCCUUUGUUGAGCAAGUCUCCUACCAGCACUGACAUAGUGGUUGCCAUAAAUUGCCACCAGGGAAAGGGAGCACUGAAGAAAGGAUGGGAUGACUUUCUGUCCCACACUUAAAACCAUGGUGGGAACCAUAGCAACAGCUGAGCAGGAGAAUACAGCAUGUUUCAUAUGGCAUAGAGAGCAUGAAAAAUCAGGCUUCCUCAUCUGGACAUCUUCUCAGCUCUGGUGGACUGCCUUAUUAUUGGGAUCUUGAAUCCACAACUGCUCCUCUUCAUUCUUGUUCUCCUCUUCCUCCUCCCUUCCAUGGUGCCUUCAUCUGUCUGUACUGCAGAAUGAGAAAUGUCCCUGGGGGACACUCAGCACUGAGACCCUUUUCCUACACUCAGCACUGUUAUUUCCCUGCCUGCUUCUUGAAAUUUCCAACAAUAUGUCUCCAAGACAAAUCCUAUGGCAAUCUUGGGGGACAUAAUGAUACCUGCUAGGAGGCAAUAUCAUUAAAUCUACCCAUUUCCCAAAUGCAAGCAUCCCUUACUCUCACUCAUGUGAGGCAGCAGGCAGGUUGCACCAUACCUGCAGAAAAGCUGCAAAAAUGGAUUUUUUGGACCCUAAGUUCAUCAGAUGUGGGCAUGUGGCUUAGUGCUGUGCUAUAUGGUCACAUGCAGUCUGUCACAGUGGGAGAUAGAUCAGGACUGGGGGUUGUUUUAAAGGAUGAGUUAAUUUACUCAAUGUUCUUACUCCUUCACCAUCACUCCCCCUAAAACAAAGAAUAAUUUAUUAUUAUCCAUUUCUACCAGUGAAACUCUUCUUAGAAUUGGCCUUAAAGACACAGAAAAUUACAUCAGUGCAAUUAUAUACAUUGUUGAUGCCAGUCCUGGAAAUUUUAUCAUUUCUUUUUGUUUGAAAAAUACAUAUGUGCUUGUAUACAUAUAUUGCAACUGAGAAAAGCUACUGCUUAGCAAAUAAAAGCAUAUUGUCAAUGGAAAAUUUGUCA
Molecule: long non-coding RNA, 1552 nt
Organism: Zonotrichia albicollis (white-throated sparrow)
Lineage: Eukaryota; Metazoa; Chordata; Aves; Passeriformes; Passerellidae
Source: Ensembl